GCGCCUGUAGCCCCGCCCUUUAUGCCGUGCGCUGCGUUCGCGGUCUCGGAGUGGGAGGGGCGGUCUAGUCCCGCCGCCUGCUUCGCCGCCAUGGACCUAGGACCUGUGAAUAUUUGUGAGGAAAUGACUAUUCUGCAUGGGGGCUUCUUGAUGGCCGAGCAGCUGUUCCACCCCAAAGACCUGGUACAGCUGACAAAGUCUGACUGGGAACAUGUAGGGCAGCCCAUUGUGGAGGCCUUGAAGGAGAUCUCCUCAGCCACAGCACAUUCCCAGUCAUUUGCCUGGAAGAAGAAAGCCCUGAUCAUCAUCUGGGCAAAGGUUCUUCAGCCUUCCCCCGUCAGUCCUUCUGACACUGACACUCGGUGGCAGGAAGAUGUGUUCUUCUCCGUGGGCAACAUGAUUCCUACCAUCAACCACACAGUCCUUUUUGAGCUACUUAAGUCUCUGGAAGCUUCUGGACUCUUCAUUCAGCUCCUAAUGUCCCUGCCUACCACCAUCUGCCGCUCAGAACUACAGAACUUUCUGGAACACAUGGCUAUUGAUACUUCUUCCAAGGAUGUCGCCUUCUUCCUGGAUGUCUGGUGGGAAAUGAUGAAGCACAAGGGUGACCAGCAGGACCCCUUGCUUUCCCAGUUCAGGACGAUGGCCCAUAAAUACUUGCCGUCUUCUGAUGAGUUUUCCCAUCCUCCAAAGAGGUUUAAGUCUGACCCAGACAUAGGUCCCACUAUGCCCCUGUUAGCCAUGCUGCUCAAUGGGCUGAAACAAAUCCAAAAUAGAAUUCUGUGCCUUGGCAUGAAGUCUUGUGCACUAGCUAACUUGGCUGACAUGCUGAAUGUGUUUGCAUUGAUGGAGGAUGACCCCCAGGAGGUAUCUGCCACCAUGUACCUAGACAAACUAGCCACAGUGAUCUCUGUAUGGAAUUCGGACACACAGAACCCAUACCAUCAACAGGCCCUGGCCGACAAGGUAAAGGAGGCAGAGCGGGACGUGAGCCUCACCUCGCUGGCCAAACUCCCCAGUGAGACUGUUUUCAUGGGGUUUGAGCUCAUGCACAACUUGCUGCAGGAGUGGGGUACAGAACUGCAAGACAUGCUCAACAGCAGUCAGGGGACAAACUAUGACACCUACCGGCUGUGUGACAGUCUGACUUCCUUCAGCCAGAACUUGAAGCACUACCUGGAUACUGCCAGCAUGUCCAAGGAGGAGAGGCAGAUGGUCUGUGAACUGGCUGAGUGUGUCAAGGACUUCCUGAGAAAAACCAGCAAAGUCCUGAAUGACAAGGGCCUCGAGGACAUCACUGCCUCCAUUGCCAUGGCCAUCAUUGAGCAGAAGAUGGACCGGCACAUGGAAAUGUGCUACAUUUUUGCUUCUGAGAAGAAGUGGGCCUUUUCAGAUGAGUGGGUUGCCUGCCUGGUUAACAACAGAUCUCUCUUCAGGGAACCAGACUUGGUCUUGAGUCUGCUGGAAACAGUGAUGGAAGUCAUCAACUCUAACAGGGUUAUCCCCCAGUCUCAGAUCAAGCAGGUGAUCUGCUUGACCUUGGAGUGUUAUGCAGAACUCUCCCUACCAGACAAAAAUAAAGUCCUUUCUGGCGUCCUGCAUUGUUGGGGGCCAAAGGGCCUCUCAGACAGGUUGUCUGUUUACGUGGAGGGUUUUCAAGAAGACCUCAACACAACGUUUAACCAGCUUGCACAGAGCAGCUCUGAACAGGGCCUGGCCAAAGCAGUGGCCUCCAUGGCCCGCCUGGUGAUCUUCUACCCAGAAGUAGUGGUAAAGAAGAUGUGCAGCACAGCUGUGACCAAUCUUGGCGCUCACAGGUUCCUGGCUCAGAUUCUCACUGCCUUCCCUGCGCUGAAGUUCACAGAAACGCAAGGGCCAAAGCCACAUACCAGUUUCAUGGUGUCCUGCCUCAAAGAAACUGUCUGGACAAAGUUCUCUACACCCAAAGAAGAGAAGCAAUUUCUGGAGCUGGUGAGCUGCCUGAUGAACCCAGUGAAACCUCAGGGAAUCCCAGUUGCUGCUCUUCUGGAGCCUGAUGAGGUGCUGAAGGAGUUUGUCCUGCCCUUCUUGAUGCUGGACAUGGAGGAGGUAGGCCUGAGUCUGAAGCUCUUCAUCCAGACCCUUGAAGCCAAUGCAGGCUUGGAGGAGUAUUGGCUGCAAACCUGCUCCCCAUUCCCGCUGCUCUUCAGCUUGUGCCAACUCCUGGAUAGCUUUAGCAAGUUCUGGCAGCUCCCCCGGGAGAAGCGCUGCCUCACUCUGGACAGCAAGGAUCUUGUGAUCUACAUCCUAAAGCUCCUCUGUGAGAUCGUGCUGGCCAAUGCAGAGACCUUCUCCCCAGACACCUGGGCCAAGUCCCUGUCCUGGCUCCACCGCAAGUUAGACCAGCUAGACUGGACUGUGGGCCUGAGACUGAAGAACUUCUUUGAAGGACACUUCAAGUGUGAGGUGCCGGCAACCCUUUUUGAGAUCUGUAAGCUCUCUGAGGCCCAGUGGACCUCUCAGGCCCAUGAAGGGUAUGGGCCUGGCACAGGGCUUCUCGCCUGGAUGGAGUGCUGCUCCAUCUCCAGCAGUGUCUCUGAAGAGAUGCUCUCCCUCUUAGUGGUGGAUGUGUGCAAUCCCGAGGAGGUCAGAUUAUUUAGCAAGGGCUUUCUGGUGGCCCUGGUACAAGUCAUGCCUUGGUGUAGUCCCCAGGAAUGGCAGUACCUUCAGCAGCUGACAAGGAAGCUGUUGGAGAAACAGCUCCUUCAUGUCCCUUAUAGCCUGGAGUAUAUUCAGUUUGUUCCCCUGCUCAACCUGAGGCCCUUUGCCCAAGAGCUUCAACUCUCUGUUCUCUCCUUGAGAGUGUUCCAGUUUCUCUGCAGCCAGAGCUGUUGUAACUGGCUUCCUAUGGACGGUUGGAGCCAUGUGGUCAGACUCCUCUGUAGCAGUCUGACCGGUAUCCUGGAUGCAAUCAGGCUGAUGCAGUUGGAGGGCCAAGGACAAAAGGGGGACCUGACUCAGGAAACCCUGUUUGUGUAUACCCAAAUGUUCUGUCAUGUUCUGCAUAUCAUGGCCAUGCUCCCCCAGGAGGUCUGUGAGCCCCUGUACGUGCUGGCUUUGGAAAUCCUUACCUGCUAUGAAACCCUAAGCAAGACCAACCCUUCUGUCAGCUUCUUGCUCCAGAAGGUCGAUGAGCAGCGCUUCCUAAAGUCUAUAGCGAAGAACAUUAGCCCCGAGGAGCGGCGCCAAACCCUGCUACAGAAGAUCAACAACUUCUGACCUGUGGAGGGCAGAACAGAUGCUAUACCUCCAACAUGGUGACGGCAGGCUUCCGCCCUCCCAACUCCUAAUUGGAAUUCACCAGGGGAAGAAGUUACAAGUGAACACUGAGCUUGAACUCUGGGCACGCUCUGUGAAUCCUUUGGUACCUUGAACCAACAUGUUGGACUAAGUAGCAGCCUACCUGAUGGAACAACCUGCUCAAUAGCGCUGGGAUAAGAAGACUUGGAGCAAAAGAGCUGGCUCAGCUGGUAAAGGCAAUGGCCUAUAAGCCUCACGACUUAAGUCUGACCCCCAUACCACCUAUAGGACCCAUAUGGUACAAGGAGAGAACUGGCUCUUCCAAGUUGUCCCUUGACCUCCACCCUUGUGCCAAAACACAGACAUACAAAAUAAAUAAGAAAAUACAAUGCUGGAUGUGGUAGUGCACGCUUUUAACCUCAGCACUCAAGAGACAGGAAGACUGCUACACAUCUGAGAACAACCUGGUUUGCAUAGUGAGACCCUGUCUCAAAAUUAAACAGAUAGGGCUGGACAGAUGGCUCAUGGUUAAGAGCACUUGCUACUCUUACAGGGGACAAGUUUGGUUACCAGCACCCAUGUCAGGCAAUCAGAACUAAGCAGGUUUCUAGCCACUUCUGACCUCCACAGGUACUUGUACAUUCACUUAGAUAAAGCAAAUAAUCUCUAAAAGAAAUAAUGCUGAAGCCUAUUGGUAGUGCAGGCCCAUGAUUCCAGCUCCAUGGGGAACUGGAGUGGGAAGACUACAAGUGCAAGGCCGAGCUGAGCAACUUAAGACUGUCUCAAAACAGUCAAGAGAGCUGGGGGUAGAGUGAGGGGUAGAAUGCUUUCCCUGCAUGAGUGAGGCGCUAGAUUAAUUACUUGUACUAAAAACAAAUAAUAAAAAACAAGCCCGAAAACAGCUCAGGGGUUAAGAGCAUGGGCUGCUCUUCAAGAGGACCCAGGUUUAAUUCCCAUCACCUAUAUGGUGGCUCAAACCAUCAAUAACUCCAGUUCCAGGGAAUCAACAGUUCUGGCCCCUGCAGCCUCCAGUCCAGCAAGAGGUACACAGACAUACAUGCAGGCAAAACACCCAUACAUAUACAAAAGAAACAAAUCUUUUACAAACUAACAGUGACGGCCAGGAGUCACAAACAUUUCAGGUGGUAUGGUUUUCCUCCACUGCUUGCAUGGAAGACUGAACCCAACGAAGUAAUUAGCAGGAGGGCCAGCAUAGUACAAAAGGGAAGAAAGGGCUCCCCAACUCCUAAGGAAUGACCAAGGCACCCGGCUCAGUGACUGAGGCUGCGGCCCUGA
This is an RNA transcript of Alexandromys fortis (reed vole), 4575 nucleotides long. It is a transcript of the gene named gem nuclear organelle associated protein 4, with no coding region annotated. Lineage: Eukaryota; Metazoa; Chordata; Mammalia; Rodentia; Cricetidae. The transcript has 4 exons. The record is from RefSeq and is a predicted model, not a curated record.